Molecule: long non-coding RNA, 525 nt
Organism: Chiroxiphia lanceolata (lance-tailed manakin)
Lineage: Eukaryota; Metazoa; Chordata; Aves; Passeriformes; Pipridae
Exons: 3
Source: RefSeq, a predicted model, not a curated record
UGUUGGGACUUAAAAAAUCAAUGGCAGCAGAAAUCACUUCACAUAACUCAUCAAAAAAGUAAAAUCAGAGUACAGUACAGAGCUUAUAAAGAAAAGAUGAGAUCACUAACCACAUUGCUACCAUAACUCAGAAGAUACAGUAAAUACUGUAACACUACAACAAUUGUUUCAAGCUAAUCUUUAAUGGAUGACAUGCAGGAAAGAAAAAUAACAUCUAAAAAGGGACUUUAAAGUGAGCUUUGAAGAAAUGGAAAAUACUUUGCUUCUGUGCUGGAAGUUAUUGCCACCCAAAGUUUAUUACUGGCAAGAUUACUUAUUUCCUCUUACUUUACAGGAUAUUAAAUCAAAUUAACUCUCAGGUUUUAAUGAGCAAUGAACACCUAUAUCAAAGAGAAUCAAGUACAGAGGUAAAACACUGGGCGAAUAUCCAGGAACAAACACGAAACUUCAGCCCAAACCAUUUGCAGCCUUUGGCUGCUGGAUGUAACAAUGAUAGAGAAGUGUGGAUUUUUUUUCUUAUAAAAA